UGAUGUUGCCCACAUGUUCCAACACAACUCAACGAACCAAACUCCAUUAUGCAUAAUAUACACUACCACAAACAUUAAGUUAGCAACACAACCCUUCAAAAAUUUGUAUUUGCUACUCAUCUAAUCAAACGAACCCUUAGGGUUUGGAGAGUGUGGUGGAUGUUGCUGGGGGCACAGGGGUGGUGGCUGGCUCGUUUCCGGACAUGAAAUGCGUUGUGCUCGACCUUCCACGAGUGGUUGAUGGGCUUGAGGGGUCUGAGAAUCUGAGUAGAUACUCCACAACUGGAGUGAAGAAGAUUGUGCUAGGAUAUUGAAAAAAUGCAAAGAAGCAAUAGGUGGGAUUGGGAAUGGUGGGAAAGUGAUAAUUGUGGAUGUGGUUGUGGAUUGUGGGAAACAAGAGCAUACUGCCUUUCAAACUCAGCUGUCUUUUUGAUGUGCUGACGAUGACUGUGUUGGCCGGAAAAGAGAGAACUGAGAAAGAGUGGGCUCACCUCUUUUCUUCAGCUGGCUUCCAAAAUUAUAAAAUCACUCCUAUCUUAGGAUUGAGGUCUGUAAUUGAAGUAUUUCCAUGAUUAUCUAAUAAUGUUGGUGUAUGCUUCGGUACUAGUUAAUUCUUCAAUUCUGUAGUAGUAUAUCAUAAUUUAUCUUUUUA
Molecule: long non-coding RNA, 652 nt
Organism: Salvia splendens (bonfire salvia)
Lineage: Eukaryota; Viridiplantae; Streptophyta; Magnoliopsida; Lamiales; Lamiaceae
Exons: 2
Source: RefSeq, a predicted model, not a curated record